GGGAUUGCCCUAGUAACGGCGAGUGAAGCGGCAACAGCUCAAAUUUGAAAUCUGACUCUUUUAGAGUCCGAGUUGUAAUUUGCAGAGGGCGCUUUGGCGUUGGCAGCGGUCCAAGUUCUUUGGAACAGGACGUCACAGAGGGUGAGAAUCCCGUACGUGGUCGCUAGCCUUCGCCGUGUAAAGCCCCUUCGACGAGUCGAGUUGUUUGGGAAUGCAGCUCUAAAUGGGAGGUAAAUUUCUUCUAAAGCUAAAUACUGGCCAGAGACCGAUAGCGCACAAGUAGAGUGAUCGAAAGAUGAAAAGCACUUUGGAAAGAGAGUCAAAUAGCACGUGAAAUUGUUGAAAGGGAAGCGCUUGCAGCCAGACUUGCCUGUAGUUGCUUAUCCGGACUCUUGUCCGGUGCACUCUUCUGCGAGCAGGCCAGCAUCAGUUUGGGCGGUUGGAUAAAGGUCUCUGUCAUGUACCUCUUUUCGGGGAGGCCUUAUAGGGGAGACGACAUGCAACCAGCCUGGACUGAGGUCCGCGCAUCUGCUAGGAUGCUGGCGUAAUGGCUGUAAGCGGCCCGUCUUGAAACACGGACCAAGGAGUCUAACAUCUAUGCGAGUGUUUGGGUGUCAAGCCCAGACGCGUAAUGAAAGUGAACGGAGGUGGGAACCCUUACGGGUGCACCAUCGACCGAUCCUGAUGUCUUCGGAAGGAUUUGAGUAAGAGCAUGGCUGUUGGGACCCGAAAGAUGGUGAACUAUGCUUGAAUAGGGUGAAGCCAGAGGAAACUCUGGUGGAGGCUCGCAGCGGUUCUGACGUGCAAAUCGAUCGUCAAAUUUGGGCAUAGGGGGCGAAAGACUAAUCGAACUAUCUAGUA
RNAcentral lists this ribosomal RNA (861 nucleotides) under Pseudopyrenidium epipertusariae. RNAcentral describes it as "Pseudopyrenidium sp. RPD-2020a partial large subunit ribosomal RNA". It matches the Rfam family "Eukaryotic large subunit ribosomal RNA", at positions 71 to 949 of the family's 3401-position model. Lineage: Eukaryota; Fungi; Ascomycota; Eurotiomycetes; Verrucariales; Adelococcaceae. The record is from RNAcentral.